AUAGAAUUUAGUUAUUUUAAAUAAAAAAUUACAAAAGAUAGCAAAUUAGUAUAUUCUAAGAAAUUUUUAUCAAAGAUUAUAGUUAAGAAGUAUUGUGAAAGAUCGUUUUAAUAAAAUUAAAAAAAAGAAGUUAUAAGGUAUCGUACCUUUUGUAUCAGGGAUUAUCAAAACUAGCUUAGUAUUUAAAGGUAUUCCCGAAUUAAGAAGAUCUAGAAUUAUAUUAUUCUUUAUAUGUCAUAAUAAUGUUAAAUAUAGUUUUAGAAGUGAUAUGUUAAACGUUUCUUAUUUAUCUGGUUCUUUACGAAAGAAAUUUAAUUUUACAGUUUAUUAAUCUAAGUAAACUAGUUAGAUUGGGGAGCAUGAGCUCACCAAUAAUUGAUUUAUUAAGAUAAGUAGGAGAUUUAUUUUAACUAGGCCUAAAAUCAGCCCUGUUUCUUUUAACGUUAUAGUAAAAAAUCCAAAAAAAAAAAUUUAAAUUAUCUUAUAUGAUAUAGUAAGGUAUAUUAUUUAAUAUAAAAAUAUUAUAAAUAAUGAUAAUAUUAGUAUAGAUUAAGUAAUAAUGUGAAAAAUGUUUUUACAAGAUAAAAACGAAUUUAAGUGACCUAAAGGUAGAGGAAAGGAACUCGGCAAAUUAUACUUCCGCCUGUUUAUCAAAAACAUGUCUGUUUGAAGUUAUAUACAGUCUGGCCUGCCCACUGGGAAACUAAAGGGCCGCGGUACUCUGACCGUGCAAAGGUAGCAUAGUAAUUAGUUCUUUAAUUGAGGACUGGAAUGAACGGUUGGACGAGAAGUUAGCUGUCUCUAAUGUAAAUCUUGAAGUUUACUUUUAAGUGAAAAGGCUUAAAUAAUAUAAAGGGACGAUAAGACCCUAUAAAACUUUACUUCUUGUUUAAAAAGUAGUUGAAUUAAGGUAUAAAUUUGCUUUUGGAAUAAGUGUUUUGUUGGGGCGAUAGAAAUAUAAAUUGUUAACUGUUUUUAAAUCAAAAAUAAUGAUAAUUAGUUUAAAUGAUCCUUUAGUAUGGAUUAUAAGAUUAAGUUACUUUAGGGAUAACAGCGUAAUUUCUCUUGAGAGACCUAAUCGACAGAGUUAGUUGCGACCUCGAUGUUGAAUUAAGAUAUCAUUUAGGUGUAGAAGUCUAAAUAGUAGGUCUGUUCGACCUUUAAAAUCUUACAUGAUUUGAGUUCAAACCGGCGUGAGCCAGGUUGGUUUCUAUCUUUUAUGAAAAAAGAAGUUUCCUUAGUACGAAAGGAUUGGGAAACAGUAAAAUUUACUGAGCCGAUAGAUUAACAUUAAACGAU
Molecule: ribosomal RNA, 1299 nt
Filed under: Lysmata boggessi
Lineage: Eukaryota; Metazoa; Arthropoda; Malacostraca; Decapoda; Hippolytidae
Description: 16S ribosomal RNA
Rfam family: Bacterial large subunit ribosomal RNA (bases 826-1299)
Source: RNAcentral